RNAcentral lists this ribosomal RNA (119 nucleotides) under Lepisosteus oculatus (spotted gar). Lineage: Eukaryota; Metazoa; Chordata; Actinopteri; Semionotiformes; Lepisosteidae. The record is from RNAcentral.
GCCAGCAGCCAUAUCACUCUGAAACUCACAACUGGCAACCCACUGAAGCUAAGCAGGUGUGAGCCUGGUCAAUACCUGGAUGGGAGACCUCCUGGGAAAAACUAAGGUUACUGCUGGAA